This is a long non-coding RNA of Phyllostomus discolor (pale spear-nosed bat), 605 nucleotides long. RefSeq lists it as uncharacterized. The record is from RefSeq and is a predicted model, not a curated record. The transcript is spliced from 4 exons. NCBI's taxonomy places the organism in Eukaryota, Metazoa, Chordata, Mammalia, Chiroptera, Phyllostomidae.
CUUCCCUGGCGUCAGUUUUCUCCUGCUCGCCCUCAGUUGUCCUUAGUUGUCUCACAAAAAGUUAUAUUUUAACUGAAUUUCCUUUAGAGAAGGUGAAACAGAAACAAAUAGAAUGAGUCAUUCUCAGAAAGAUGUCAUGUGAUUUCGGUGAAACCACUGCUUUUGCUAACAAUCCAUCUAUGGUUACACAGAGGGAGGGGACAAGGAAACACAAUCUCAAGUCUAUUUCCAGAUCUAGACCAGCCAGAGUCACAGGGAGCCUCGAGGAGAGAGGUUGGCCUCCUUCCCAAGAAAAUAAAGAAGAUGGAGCCAAAAAGCAUACUGUUCCUCACAAUGGGAAAGGGGAGCGUAGUCUUGUUGGCCACAGGGUCUGCAGUGUGGGUCGCUGGGGUUGCAUUGCUUCUGGGCGUCGGUGGAUAUCUGUACUACAAGAAGGAGAUGCAAAACAAGAAUAAAUUUCAUUGACAGGAAUCCUUUCCAAUCCCCUAGCCAGACAUGGAGGCCUGCCUUGCUGAAAAACUUUACAAAGCAACUUGCUAUACAUGGUUUAUAUUUUGAGUAUGAACAAAGUAAACUUUUGGACAAAAUAAAAUUAAUUGAAUACA